GAUGAAGAACGUAGCGAAAUGCGAUAAGUAAUGUGAAUUGCAGAAUUCAGUGAAUCAUCGAAUCUUUGAACGCACAUUGCGCCCGCCAGUAUUCUGGCGGGCAUGCCUGUUCGAGCGUCAUUUCAACCAUCAAGCCCCAGGCUUGUGUUGGGGGCCUGCAGCUGCUGCAGCCCCCUAAAAGCAGUGGCGGACUCGCUGUCAUACCGAGCGCAGUAGUUACAUCUCGCUCUGGGCAUGGCGGCGGGCACCUGCCGUAAAACACUCUUUCUAAGGUUGACCUCGUAUCAGGUAGGAAUACCCGCUGAACUUAAGCAUAUCAAUAAGCGGAGGA
This 331-nucleotide unclassified non-coding RNA is filed under the name soil metagenome. RNAcentral's name for it is "partial contains 5.8S ribosomal RNA, internal transcribed spacer 2, and large subunit ribosomal RNA". The stretch from base 1 to 120 matches the Rfam family "5.8S ribosomal RNA", at positions 35 to 154 of the family's 154-position model. The record is from RNAcentral.